UCACCUUUGGCUCAGUCAGUAGACCAUUACGCUAACAACGAAAAGGUUGUGAGUUCAAACCCAAAGGAGAG
Non-coding RNA from Danionella cerebrum, 71 nucleotides. The record is from the annotation of a GenBank genome assembly. NCBI's taxonomy places the organism in Eukaryota, Metazoa, Chordata, Actinopteri, Cypriniformes, Danionidae.